Pezoporus occidentalis (night parrot) is the source of this 2164-nucleotide long non-coding RNA. RefSeq lists it as uncharacterized. NCBI's taxonomy places the organism in Eukaryota, Metazoa, Chordata, Aves, Psittaciformes, Psittacidae. The record is from RefSeq and is a predicted model, not a curated record. The transcript is spliced from 3 exons.
CUCGAUAGAGACCAUCAGUGAUUUGAGUGGGAGAGCAAAGCGAAGCAGGAGCAUUGGGAUGAAGGAGGAAAGCUUCCUGGCCCUUGUGGUGAUAACCUAGCACAGCUCUGCCUCUGGGGGAGCAGAUGCCAGCCUUUGGAGCAUGCUGCUGUCUGGUGUGUGCUCACACCUCUGAGGCAGUGGUGGGUCCUGAGCAGCCCUAUAAUUGAAGGAUAACUUCCUGUUGCUCACACCCUGGCAGAGCUGCUGGCAUCCCUGCUGUUCCGUAUUCCUCCCCAGAAUCUGCAUGUUCCAACUAUCAGCUGGAAGUUCCGACCCUUUGUGUGCUUAGCUGGAGGGGAGAAAAGUACUAGAGAAGAUGGAUUGAGAAGUGAAUGAGAUGCCAAAGUAAAUCUCAUUUACCUGUCCCGUGUGUCAGUAGUAAGCUGGGAGAACAUUCGUCUCUGAAACCAUCUCACGUCAUCAGAACCGACUCAGACAGCAGCUGUUUGCUCCUCGGAGCUGUCACGGGGUUGCAGAUGUGGUGGCACUACAACUGCUGGAGCAGUUUUGUUGUGGGACAGCUUUGAGCUCGGGUCACCUCCGUGGCUGCCGCACGGAUGCUGCCCCUCUUUCUGCAGGAGCCCCUGAGCGGAAGCACAGACCCAAUGCUGGGUAAGGGGGAGGAAAGCAGAGCCUGGCUCAGAUGGAAGGGGAGAAAAGACAAUCUGGGAGGAUGCAGGUUGUGAAACCGGCAGCAGGAGAGGCAGCAGAAAUAACCGGCCCUUCGCAGCUCUCUUCAUCCCUGUGUCCCUAAGAAAGAGUCUUUUAGGGUUAGUAAUUAACCCUGAGCUUACACUGGCACUAACAAACACCUAAGUGGGACAGAAGUGGGUUUGACCUGUGCUCCCCCUACCCUGCCCUGCUAGGCAGCUCCCAUCUCUGUGUGAAGGACAGGAUGAAUGAGGACCAGCUACGACGCUCUUCCUCCCUGUAGUAAAAGGCUUCUGGGAAGGAAAUAAGCAAUUGCCAUUUAGCUGCUUAUGCUCUCCCUUUGUCCCCUUUCUCCGUGUCCAUGGGAAAGCUGAUGGCAGUGUGGGGCCUCACAGGUUUUGCCAUGUGGAUCCAUGCCUAUGGCUGGGCUGGUGUGUCCUGCCCUUGCCUCACUGCUGUCCUGAUGAGCCGGGGACUGUGGCCACAACCUGACUGUCCCCAUGUGGGAGCCCGCAGCACUGCGAACGUGGUACCCUGUAAGUGAUCUGUCUGAAAGACAACCCUGGGUAGUGCUUAGUUUUUAAAUAGAUCAUUCCUGACAAAGCCCAUUAUUCACAGUGGGCAGAAAGCCAACACCCCUUCGGUUCAGAGGAUGCUCCCUGCAACGCUGCUAUCAGGAGUUGCACAUCCUGAGAGGGAUUGGUGGCCACGGGGGGCACUUGGGGAGGAGGAAGAGGAGUUCUCCUGACAGCUGCAUGUGAUCUCUUCAUCAGCCCAGUCUCUGAAGUAUGAGGCUUCAUUUCCUGCCACUCCUUGAGAUGCUCAAUGUGUUUCAUGUGGAUGAUUAGCCCAGGAUUCAGAUUGUUCAAUUACACAUCAGCCCAGGCACAGAGUAGAAGAGUAUUGCCCAGUGCAUGUGUCUCCAGAAGGGUACUGAAUUCCUCCCUUAGGCUGAUUAGUCUCAGUUGAGCUUUAACUGAGUAUCUGAGCACAUGAAGAGGAAGUUUUUGACAUGUCUAUGCAUUAAACCAAUUAUGAUAAUUCUAUUUUGAUGUCCACAUGUGUGACACUUUUGAGAAAUGGGGCAAAAUAUCUGUCAGCCCUGUUGUAUCCCUGCCUGUGGGUGCACAUCCUGCUGCAGCUCUUUGCAUACAGACCUAUCUAACAGCACAUAUUGAAAUUCUCUUGAAUUAUGUAGAAGUUUGAACACUGAGAAAGGAAAACAUUUGGAGAUGAUGGACUAGGCAGACGAGGGAGGCCUGUGCCUCAGCCAUGCCUUUCCUCAGGGCUGCCUUCUCUGUAGUGGGUUUUAUUUUCUACCACUCAGUACUGCUUUUUUUGCAAGAGGGAUUUUAUUUUCUACCAUAUCUGAAUGGUAGCAUUUAAAAAUCACUUUGCAUCAAUGCCCAAUCGUUCAGGCCUUCAGUGUUUUAUUUUAUGGUUAUGUUUUAUCAUUUAUAGCAGUGUGAUU